Molecule: ribosomal RNA, 573 nt
Filed under: fungal endophyte
Lineage: Eukaryota; Fungi
Description: eukaryotic LSU rRNA
Rfam family: 5.8S ribosomal RNA (bases 209-362)
Source: RNAcentral
UCGUAACAAGGUCUCCGUUGGUGAACCAGCGGAGGGAUCAUUAACGAGUUCCAUUCUCCUUAAUACACCCGUGAACGUUUCUUCAACUGUUCGUUGCUUCGGCGGGCGGCCCCGGGGAGGGGCCGCAGCCCGCAAGGGCGCCCGCCGGCGGCAGCGCAGCACAACUCUUGCGAUUUAGGCCCCUCUGAGAAGACACUAAAUGAGUCAAAACUUUCAACAACGGAUCUCUUGGUUCUGGCAUCGAUGAAGAACGCAGCGAAAUGCGAUAAGUAAUGUGAAUUGCAGAACUCAGCGAAUCAUCGAAUCUUUGAACGCACAUUGCGCCCGCCGGCAUUCCGGCGGGCAUGCCUGUUCGAGCGUCAUUUCAACCCUCGAGCCCUGCUCGGUGUUGGGGCCCCGCGGCCGCCGCGGGCCCUGAAAAGAAGUGGCGGGCGCGCCUGGACCCGUAGCGCAGUAAUACACCUCGCUCGCGGCGUCCCGGCGCGUGCCGGCCGUAAAACCCCUUUAUCUCAAGGUUGACCUCGGAUCAGGUAGGAAUACCCGCUGAACUUAAGCAUAUCAAUAAGCGGAGGA